Paramisgurnus dabryanus is the source of this 319-nucleotide long non-coding RNA. RefSeq lists it as uncharacterized. The record is from RefSeq and is a predicted model, not a curated record. NCBI's taxonomy places the organism in Eukaryota, Metazoa, Chordata, Actinopteri, Cypriniformes, Cobitidae.
UUAAAGCUUAUGAUGCACUUUCCAAAGAGCUUGGCUUGUUGGAUAGUAGCAAUGCAAUUAACCACAUGCGGCCUAUGUUUAUCAAUGAUGGCCCCAGUGAUGUUAAUCUGGACUUGUUUGUGACCGCUCUCACAAAUGUGAAUGAAAAUGCCCAGACUAUCUCAACACAAAUACGACUUGUCACUACUUGGCAUAAAGGCGUCCUUAAGUCACGUGAAAUACCAAACGGUUCUUUGUGGGUCCCCUCAGAGUUUUGUGGCAUUUUCUCAAUUAUAGCUGAAAAAGAUUUUUUGUGGACUCCAGACAUUGCCAUUAUGGA